AGRAAAGUGCCUGAAUAAAGGGUCAUUCUGAUAGAAUGAAUUAUGCAAAUAUAACGCCUUUUCUU
This 65-nucleotide transfer RNA is filed under the name Tullbergia bisetosa. Its description in RNAcentral is "tRNA-Ile". Lineage: Eukaryota; Metazoa; Arthropoda; Collembola; Poduromorpha; Tullbergiidae. The record is from RNAcentral.